AGCGGCGAACGGUUGAGUAACACGUAGGCAACCUGCCCCGAAGUCGGGAAUAACUCAUCGAAAGGUGGGCUAAUACCGGAUGUGGACGCCGAUCGCCUGGUCGGUGCUCUAAAGGUUUCGAUCGCUUCGGGAUGGGCCUGCGGCCUAUCAGCUUGUUGGUGGGGUAACGGCCUACCAAGGCGACGACGGGUAGCUGGUCUGAGAGGAUGGUCAGCCAGACAGGGACUGAGACACGGCCCUGACUCCUUUGGGGGGCAGCAAUGAGGGAUAUUGCACAAUGGGGGCAACCCUGAUGCAGCGACGCCGCGUGGGUGACGAAGUCCUUCGGGAUGUAAAGCCCUUUUGCCGGGGAAGAGAUGGACGGUACCCGGCGAAUAAGCCCCGGCUAACUACGUGCCAGCAGCCGCGGUAAUACGUAAGGGGGCGAGCGUUGUCCGGAUUUACUGGGCGUAAAGCGCGUGUAGGCGGCGACUUAAGUCGGGUGUGAAAGCCCGGGGCUCAACCCCGGAGUGCCGCUCGAGACUGGGUCGCUUGAGGACGGAAGAGGGGCGUGGAAUUCCUGGUGUAGCGGUGACAUGCGUAGAGAUCAGGAGGAACACCG
RNAcentral lists this ribosomal RNA (601 nucleotides) under uncultured Nisaea sp. RNAcentral describes it as "bacterial SSU rRNA". It matches the Rfam family "Bacterial small subunit ribosomal RNA", at positions 94 to 711 of the family's 1533-position model. Lineage: Bacteria; Pseudomonadati; Pseudomonadota; Alphaproteobacteria; Rhodospirillales; Thalassobaculaceae. The record is from RNAcentral.